CAAACUUGAAGAGGAACGUCGACUCCACAAUAAUUACUAACAAAGCAGGCAGCGGGAAACAGCCGCGCCCAUCAGAAACAGCUUGCUCUGGAUUGGCAUCUUGACAGUGAUAAUAGCUGAUGCAGGUUACGACCUGCUCUUGAAUGGAAUUGCCCUGAUGACCACCUGGUGGUAGAUGGCAGCAAGGGCAGCGCCAAUGAAG
Molecule: unclassified non-coding RNA, 202 nt
Filed under: Hevea brasiliensis (rubber tree)
Lineage: Eukaryota; Viridiplantae; Streptophyta; Magnoliopsida; Malpighiales; Euphorbiaceae
Source: RNAcentral